UAAUUUAACCACAAACUUAAAUUCUAACAAUUUACUAAUUGUUGCUGGAUGGUACUUCUCCAAAAACAAUGUACUUAAUAAACGUCUUUUAAUAGUUUCUAAAGUUACAUUCUACUUUUUGGAUGUUUUCUUCAUGAAAAUCAUUAUUUUGGUUUUAUUAACUGACUGCUAUUUUUCUGCUUUGUGUGUGUACGUAUUAUUUAUGUUCUUUACUGAUACAAUUAGUAGAGACAGAAAUGGAACAAAAGUUAAAUACUUAAAAAUUGUUGAACAAAUCUGUGUAACAGAAUCAGGAUAUUGAGAGUUAUGAACCCAAAGAUUAAUUCAUUGUUAUUUAAUGUUUUUAAGUUAUUCAAGUUUAAUGAGUAUAUCUAUAAAAAAGGGCAAAAUUAAGAUGAUGCCAUCUCCCCCAUAUCACAAAGAAGUUAAUUUUGGGUCUGUUGAAUUUUUGUAUAGGUUAGUUGAUGGCUUAGGGCAUUUUAUGCAUUCAUAACACUAUCUCAAAAGUUCUUUGUAAAUCAAGAAUAAAUCAGCACAUACAUUUUUAAUGGGACAAAGUAAUAUAUUAAUAUACAAAGUAACAAAUGACAGGCAGUACCAGCCAAUUUAAUAAUUAUUUUCCCCUGUUAUGAGUUGUAUCUGAUUCAGCAGUAGCAUCUUGUAUAUUCAAAUGUUAAUAUGUAUUAACAUUGUUAUCAUAAAUGUAUUUAACUGUCACUUUGUUUUCAUACUUAAGCUUCAGCCAUGGAAUAUUAGAAUGACUUAAUUUUUGGUUUAAUAAUAGUAUUUGACAUUAUAAGUAUUCCCUCAAAAAUAUGGAUCACUGAAAAUGCAAUGUGAUUAGGCAAGGGUGCAGCUCCAACAUCAGGUGUGUACAACCAUUCACACUAGUGACUUGCAAAUGAUAAACUGUAGUUGUUAAAAACACCCAAAAGCAAGUUUGUCAGUAACAUAUACACAAAACUGCUUAAUUUUGUCAUCUUUUAUCUGUUUAAAAUAAUAAUAAAUUAAAGGAGAUUUAAAAGUUUAAACUCGUAAUUAUUCUUUGGGCAAGAGUAGUAGGAAUUUUUUUUAAAGAAUUUGAAGUGGAUUUUAUUAAUUUGCUUACAUUUGAUCAAACCCAAUAGGGUGAUCUAAUUCUGUCUAUAAUACAGGCACUUCAAAAUUUCUUUCCACAAACCAAUUUUCUUUUGCACAUACAUACUACAUUCUUGUAGUGUAAUUCAAAAUAGGUACAUUCUGCAUUAUACCAAAGAGCUGUGCGUUGAGCAACUACAGUAGGGUCUGAACAGCUUGAAGAAAGAUUAUUUCCAAAUCACACAACAUUUCAAUAGAGUGGGUUAAACUUAUUAUGUGCAUAUUAUAAUCCAACAGACAAGCAAUAAAUUUGAAUUUUUCAUGAAUGCUUAACAUUAGGUAAAAAUAAAUCACUGUAUUUAGAGUUUUCUUGUCAUGUCUCUUUGCAACAUCCUCUGUACGUGCCCUUUCUUCAGGUGGCAUUUUUUUCAUUAGAUCACUAUACGUGUUGAAGAGUAGAUUACUAUUUUUGUUUUUAUGUGGCUGCUUCAUUUUUUGCUGUGUUGUUUAAAAACAUUAAAUAAGUAUGCAACAGGUAAUCCUGUUGCUGUAUUAAAAUUAACUGAAGUGACUGCCUUGAUCAAAUAACUGAUGAAAUAAAGGGCAAAAUCAACUCUCUUAUGACAGAAAAGAAAUAUGAACGUUUGCAUUAAAGAAUUUCGGUAGUGUUAGGUGACUCAAUAGUAUUUCAUUACUUGCUCAACUUGGCUCUCCUUCUGUUGCAGCAAUGGCUGUAAUAUAACUAGAAGGGUAAUGAAAGCGUGAUCUCAAUGUUAAGUAGUAAUAAAAUUCUAAUUAAAAGUAAGGAAGCUUGAAAAUAAGCUGUGAAAAAAACGUUAAUUGUAAUAAAAUUUUACAUUGCAUUAUUCUUAAAAUACCCAAGGAAGAAAGGAGGGUAAAAAAGCCUGUUAAUUGUCAUAUUCUUUUGGGGUUGGCUAAAUCUUUUUUCAGAUAUACAGUUUUACUUCCUUCCUAAAAUUUAGAAUGGUCUCAGUAACUCGUUUUGGUCCUCUUUUCAGACUGCGCAGUAAGGACUUGUGUAGUUUUUGUUUUGUCUGUCUAGUAGUUUAGCACCAUCUACUAUUUUUCAUCAAAUUCAAGUAAACACGUGUUCUUAUUAUACAAGCUAUUAGAGAAAAUGCUUUUUGAAACAGUAUUUCACUGCACUGAAUGUUUCGUGGGUACUGUUUUUGGAGAAGUCCAGUGGUUCUGUUCUGUUGUGCUAGAUGUUUUCAUAUUGAGCAGGAAUGUAAUUUAUUUCUUUUUCUCUUUAAAGACCCUAUUAAGGUUCAUUACAAUUUUCUUUUGGUUAUUCCUAAAAAGACUAUUAUUAUUUAUGAAGCCUGUUAAAUGCACUUUCAUGAGUUUCUUGUGUUUUUGGGUGAAUGUUUUGCCAGUGUACAAAUAAAU
Molecule: long non-coding RNA, 2487 nt
Organism: Erpetoichthys calabaricus (reedfish)
Lineage: Eukaryota; Metazoa; Chordata; Cladistia; Polypteriformes; Polypteridae
Exons: 2
Source: RefSeq, a predicted model, not a curated record